ACUUCUAAAGUUGGCGGUGUUUCGUACCGGCCGCGGGAUUUCGCGGACUGGGGCGCUGAGGUUCUUUGAGCGGCGUGUGGACCUGAAUUCCCUGGAAACAGGCUGGGGCCGCGAGGGGCCUCCGCUCCGGGCGGGGUCCCCAGAUAGCCCCGCCUCGAAUAAAAAUGACGAGCACGGGUCCUCUCUCGGGCCCGCAGUGGGUGGACUGCGUCGCAGACCCGUAGUGGAGGCGCCCAGCUCGCCGGGGAGAUUCGAGUGGAAACCCUCACGGCCGCCGGUGGUGGGCCCCGGCGCGGCGCUGGGCUCCGGCGGGUCUGCGCUGGGGAGGGCCAGGGCCCCUGAAGCCGGCGUCCCUCUUAGGGGACGCGCCUGGGUGUGUCUUCACCGUUUGCCUGGUGAGUUGGAGACAGGGUCUCGCUCCGUCGCCCAGGCUGGAGUGCAGUGGUAGGAUCAGGGUUCAUUGUAGCCUCCGCCUCAGCCUCUGGAGUAGCUGGGACCUCAGGCGCGCGCCACCACGCCCGGCUAAUUUUUUAAAUUUUUUUGUAGAGACGGGGUUGGGGGAGGCGGGGGUUAGGGUUGUCCUGGCUGGUCUUGAACUGCGGGGCCUCAGGUGAUCCGCCUGCCUUGGCCUCCCAAAGUGCUGGGAUUACAGGCAUGAGCCACUGUGCCCGGCAAGCAGCUGUUAUAAAUAAAAUACAUGCUGAGCCUGCAAUUUGCUCUUAAUGAAGGCCACUUGUCAGUAGACGGUGCUGCUAAUGCGUGUCCUGCAGCAAAGAUAACCCAGACGGGAUCAUUUUUUAAUUGCCCAGCAGAACUUUAACCAGUUGUGCAUCUUAACCUGCUUUUUGUUUGUUCGUUUGUUUGUUUUGAGACAGUCUGGCCCUGUCGCCCAGGCUGGAGUGCCAUGGCGCGAUCUCGGUUCACUGCAGCCUCCACCUCCCGAGCACAGGCGAUCCUCCCGCCUCAGCCUCCAGAGCACCUGGGACCACAGGUGUCCACGCGCAGCCACUAACCGCUUUCUUAUCUGACACUUUAAGUGCUUCUUCGUACCCAGCUCCUCUAACGCCUUUUGAAGCAGCUCCAUCAUCUUUGAAGGGCAGUUCAUGCUGUUGAGAAUCAUGUUUUUAACUUUGGGAAAAUUGUAUUUCCACGAGCGCCAGCUCUGUCCUUUUUUUUUUUUUUUUUUUUUUUUUUUUUUGACGGAGUCUUGCUCGGUUCGCCCAGGCUGGAGUGCAGUGUCGCGAUCUCAGCUCACUGCAAGUUCUGUCGCCCAGGUUCACGCCAUUCUCCUGCCUCAGCCUCCCAAAUAGCUGGGACUACAGACACGCGCCACCACGCCCAGCUAAUUUUCUGUAUUUUUAGUAUAGACCGGGUUUCACCAUGUUGGCCAGGAUGGUCUUGAUCUCUUGACCUCAUGAUCCGCCCACCUCGGCUUCCCAAAGUGCUAGGAUUACAGGCGUGAGCCACCGCGCCCCGCUAUUUUGUGUGUGUGUGUGUGUGUGUGUGUGUGUGUGUGUGACAGAGUCUCGCUCUGUUCCCCAGGCUGGAGUGCAGUGGCGCAAUCUUGGCUCACUGCAACCUCUGCCUCCCGGUUCAAGCGACUCCCCUUCCUCACCCUCCUGAGUAGCUAGGAUUACAGGCAUGCACCACCACGCCCGGCUAAUUUUUGUAUUUUUAGUAGAGAUGGGGUUUCCCCGUGUUGGUCAGGCUGGUCUUGAACUCCUGACCUCAUGAUCUGCCCGCUUCAGCCUCCUAAAAUGCUGGGAUUACAGGCAUGAGCCCGGUCCUGUCCUUUCUUAUGGUCACAAAUCUGGCUUGCAUCGCUGGGCACAUCUUUAAUCCACAGCUUCUUUCUAGGAGUGCUUGAAAAGCUCUCCUUUUAUGAAGGUUAAUUUUAGUUAAAACCAGAGCAUCCUGGCCAGGCCUGGUGGCUCACGCCUGUAAUCCCAGCACUUUGGGAGGCCGAGGCAGACGGAUCAUGAGUGUAGGAGUUCGAGAACAGCCUGGCCAAAAUGGUGAAACCCCAUCUCUACUAAAAAAAAAAUACAAAAAUUAGCUGGCCGUGGUGACGGGUGUCUGUAGUCCCAGCUACUCUGGAGGCUGAGGCAGGAGAAUCUCCUGAACCCCGGAGGUGGAGGUUGCAGUGAACCGAGAUUGCGCCACUGCACUCCAGCCUGGGCGACAGAGACUCCAUCUCAAAAAUAAACAGAAAACCAGAGCAUCCUUUUAUCAAGAAGUCGGUGGAUUGCAGUAUUUCAAGGGUGAACAAGUAAAUGCAGCCUUCUCCAAGAGUGAAUCUCAUUCUGGCACCAGAAUUUAUCCAUGACAGAUAAUUGACCUUCUGAUAAACAUUCCUUGUAAGGAUGCUGGUGUUACCCAAAAUAUUAAAUAUUUAUAAAGCUGAAUAAAAUGUAAGUUCUGAUACCUUCCUCACUCUACAAAGGAUCAUUUCGUGCCUCACACUGUUUGCCAGGCCGUGCUGUAGCGCUUUGUCGUAAAAUACACACAGAUUUCAAUGACUUAACGUAGGAGAAGAAUGUAAAAUACCUUGUUGACUAAAGAAAAACAGUUAAGCUUUUAAAGAAUUAAAGUUAGUUUUAUUCAGAAGCCUUACUGAGGACCGUACAUCCUGGCCCCAGCCCAGGAGCUCAAGCGAUCCUCCUACCUCAGCCUCUCAAAGUGCUGGAAUCACAGGUGUGAGCUACCAGGCCUCUCACCUUGUUCAAAGUUAAAAUCUAAUCCACAAACUGCUUAGAUUUGUUUUCCUUCAUAUUUUUAUGACUAGAUGAUCUAACAUUUUACACCAUUUUUCUGGAAAUGUUGUUUAUGCCAGGUGUCUGAACACACAUCUUAAAGGGCUCUAACUUUUCUGGGGAGCAGUAGCUUUUUAGCCCAGAGUCUAUGACAAUGUGACAAUGAUGAGAGCUGCUGAGGUUUGCUGCAGUCUCUGGGUGAACGAUGCUUUCUAGGGAAACAAUGGGGCAUAAAACAGACAUGGGCUCUCCUGCCUUGAGAUUAAUCGCGUGAGAUGGACCCCUCCCCAACACACAAACAUUGUGGGACAUGAGGUGCUGGAGACGGGGUUGCUCACCCAGAGCUUAAUGGGUCUGUCCACCUUUGGGCCCUGGGAUGAUGAGGGUAAAUCCACUUUUUAGAGCAGGAAUCUCCAAACCCCAGGCCACGGACCAGUAUCAGCACCUGUCUGUGGCCUGUUAGGAACCAGGCGGUGCAGCAGGAGGCAAGCAAGGGAGCUAAACUGAGCUCUGCCUGCUGUCAGCAGCAGCACUGGACUCAGAGGAGUGUGAACCCUGUUGUGAACUGCACAUGCGAGGGAUCUAGGUUGUGCACUCCUCAUGAGAAUCUAAUGCCUGAUGAUGGGAGGUGGAAUAGUUUCAUCCCGAAACCACUACCCCAUCCAUCUCUGGAAGAAUUUUUUUCCACCACCUGUGGAAAAGUUGUUGACGUGGCUAGACUUUGUGUCUUCACCCACAUCUCAUCUUGAAUUGUAAUCCCAUAAUCCCUAUAAUCCCCACGUGUCGAGGGAGAAGCCAGGUGGAGUAAUUGAAUCACGGGGAUGAGUCCCCCAUGCUGUUGUCUUGAUAGUUGUCUCGAGAUCUGAUGGUUUUAUAAGGGGCUCUUCCCCCUUUGCUUGGCACUUUUCCCUUCCUGCCAUCUUGUGAAGAAGGUGCCUUGCUUCCCCUUCACCUCCUGCCAUGAUUGUAAGUUUCCUGAGGCCUCCCAAGCCAUGCUGAACUGUCAAUUAAACCUCUUUCCUUUAUAAAUAACCCAGUCUCGGACAGUUCUUUAUAGCAGUAUGAAAAUGGAAUAAUACAUUUGUCUUCCACAAAACCCAUCCCUGUUGCCAAAAAGGCUUUAGAAAACGCAGUGUGGGUAGGUGGUGAAUAGAUGGGAGGAGACUCAUGUUUUUGUCAUGUAGGAGAGCAGCAAGAGCUCCUCUCAGGAGAAGAGGUUUUUGCUGUGAAAUAUGGUGCGUGCUUUUCCAUGGCCUAUGUAGUGCUCAGCAGAUGCCCUAGCAUCAAUAGGAUCCCAAACCCCUUGUUCUGUUUAUUACUGGUAGGCAGUUAGGAUCGUGUCAGCCAUGUCUUGAGAACAUGCCUUGUGAGUCAUGCACCAGAUUUGUUAAAGUGUCGGCUCUGUGUAGCUCUGUUGUGCUAUGCAUAACAUCUACUUAAAAAAUGAGAGCUGACAGCCUCGCUUAGCUUUCUAUCCACAAGUCCCCUGCUUAAAAUUCUGGAUAAAUGUUUCCGUUCCUAUGGGAAACCUCCAUUAUCUCCAUAAGUAGAGAAUGCAGAUAGGUAUCUUUUUUCUUUUACUGAUGGAGACACUAAGGCCCAGUGUGAUAAGUUCAAGCGCCCUACAGGGAAAGGCACAAGCAGGCCAGGCUCUAGAGUUCCCUAAACAGUAGCUAUAGUGCCUGCCCUUUGUCCCUGGCCCCCAAGGUGUCUAGGAAAAGAGGCUCCCGGUCACUGAGGUAGACAGACCCCUAUGCCUGGUCUCAGCAUCCUCGCUGUCACCGGCAUCUCACUUCCCACAUGGUUUCCACGUUGGGGAGGGAGACUACUCACCCCAUUAAAUGCGGCUGCUAGGGUCAUGUCUGUUUCGCCCCCACUGUUUCCCUAAUGCUCAGUAGGUGUUCAAUAAAUAGUUGUUGGCUUACUCAAUGUGUGGACCUCUGGGGCAAGAGAGAGGGAGGGACACAACGCAGUCCCAGCUGGCCAGGAGCGCUGUGAGCUCAGGAGGUUGCUGUGGGGGAGAUGGUGAGGUAGGAAUUUGGCAGGACUUGUUUCACAAGAUAGAGGUCACAAAGACCCGCUGAUAAAACAGGAUGUGGUAAAGAAGCCUCCAAACUCCACCAAAAGCAGGAUGGUGAUGAAAGCAGCCUCCGCCUGUCCUCACUGCUCCUUAUAUGCUAAUUAUAACGCAUCAGCUGCCAAAAGACACUCCCACCAGCCAUGACAGUCUCCAAAUGCUAUGGCCACCCCUGAAAGUUACCCUAUGUGGUCUGAAACAGGGAGGAACCCUCAGUUCCGGGAAUUGCCCACCCCUUUCCUGGAAAACUCAUGAACAGUCCACCCCUUUUUAGCAUACGAUUAAGAAAUUACCAUAAAAGCCAACUGGCACCC
This 5144-nucleotide long non-coding RNA is filed under the name Homo sapiens (human). Its description in RNAcentral is "non-protein coding lnc-CARD14-4:6". The record is from RNAcentral. Lineage: Eukaryota; Metazoa; Chordata; Mammalia; Primates; Hominidae.